GGUUCCUCUAUAUAGGAGGUUCUGCCAAGCUACUGGGUAUGGGGGUACUGUUCAAUGCCGUGAGAGUGUUGAAGAAAAGAUAUCUCGGCAUACUCAAGAUGGAACAAUCACCACCAGGGAUAUUGUGGUGCAGUUCAAUGCUAACGUGGCAGAUGGAAUGCCUUGGAAGUUUAUUCCC
Molecule: long non-coding RNA, 178 nt
Organism: Cornus florida
Lineage: Eukaryota; Viridiplantae; Streptophyta; Magnoliopsida; Cornales; Cornaceae
Exons: 3
Source: RefSeq, a predicted model, not a curated record